UUUCCGUAGGUGAACCUGCGGAAGGAUCAUUAAAAAAUUGGACUCCAUUGGUGAGUUCAUUAAUAGUCCCUACCCUUUGUGAAUUUGUUUGUUUGAAUAAUUUUUUUUCCAAAAAAAUUAUUGAAUGUCUUUCCCUGUUUUGGUGGAGCUUGUAAAGUGAAACCAGGCAGGGGAAUGGCAAACAAUAAUUAUUUUUGAAAAAAGACCUUUUUUUAAAAUUAAACUUUUUGUAUUCAUUUGUCUAAAAUUAUUUUUAUAAUAUAAAAACAACUUUUGACAAUGGAUCUCUUGGUUCUCGCAACGAUGAAGAACGCAGCAAAAUGCGAUAAGUAGUGUGAAUUGCAGAAUACGUGAAUCAUCGAAUCUUCGAACGCAUAUUGCACUUUUUAGUUUACUAAAAAAGUAUGUCUGUUUGAGUAUCAGUAAAAUAUUCUCAUAAAAAACAUUGUUUUUUUAUGGUUAUGAGUGUUUUACAACGAUAACAAGUUGUUUCACUUUAAAUUCUUUGUUAUCAAAAAAAUCAUUAAAAGCUAAUUUUAAAGAUUUUUUAAAAUUGGAUAAAAUUUUCCCGUAAAAAGGAAUAACCUAAACAAUUUUAAAAAAUUAAAAUUGGUUUGAUUUUUUUUGAAACCCAAAGGAAAAAAAAACGAAAUUAACUUGAUCUCAAAUCAGAUAAGAGUACCCGCUGAACUUAAGCAUAUCAAUAAGCGGAGGAAAAGAAACUAACUAGGAUUCCCUCAGUAACGGCGAGUGAAGCGGGAAGAGCUCAAAUUUGAAAUCUUCAAGGUUUUACCUUGACGAAUUGUAGUUUAAAGAAGUGUUUUCUGUUGGAGUUUUGGUAAAAGUUCUUUGGAAAAGGACAUCAUAGAGGGUGAGAAUCCCGUAUUUGACCAUUAUCUCCAGCUUUGUGAUACACUUUCAAAGAGUCGGAUUGUUUGGGAAUGCAGUCCAAAAUGGGUGGUAAAUUUCAUCUAAAACUAAAUACUGGCGAGAGACCGAUAGCGAACAAGUACCGUGAGGGAAAGAUGAAAAGAACUUUGAAAAGAGAGUUAAACAGUACGUGAAAUUGUCAAAAGGGAAGCGUUUGACACCAGUGUUGUUUUCUCGAAAAUCAAUUAAAAAAGGCCGGAUUUUGUGUUGUAUUGACUUUAACAGCUUGCUGCACUUUUUCCUGCUUUUUUAAUGCACUUUUCGUUUAACAAGUCAACAUCAGUUUCUUUUGUUGUAAAAGGGUCAUUGGAAGGUGGCUUUCUUUCGGAGAAAGUGUUUAUAGCCUUUGGCCUCUGCAAUCGGAGAGAUUGAGGUCUGCAGCGUAGAUCCUUCGGGGUUAGAUACAUUUGUGCUAAGUUACAGCCUUUCAUAGACAACUUGUUGACUAUGAUCAGUCAUGUAACUCACCCGCUUAUGCUAUUU
This 1413-nucleotide unclassified non-coding RNA is filed under the name uncultured Neocallimastigales. RNAcentral describes it as "partial contains small subunit ribosomal RNA, internal transcribed spacer 1, 5.8S ribosomal RNA, internal transcribed spacer 2, and large subunit ribosomal RNA". The stretch from base 659 to 1413 matches the Rfam family "Eukaryotic large subunit ribosomal RNA", at positions 1 to 617 of the family's 3401-position model. The record is from RNAcentral. Lineage: Eukaryota; Fungi; Neocallimastigomycota; Neocallimastigomycetes; Neocallimastigales.